Long non-coding RNA from Pipra filicauda (Wire-tailed manakin), 852 nucleotides. RefSeq lists it as uncharacterized. NCBI's taxonomy places the organism in Eukaryota, Metazoa, Chordata, Aves, Passeriformes, Pipridae. The transcript is spliced from 3 exons. The record is from RefSeq and is a predicted model, not a curated record.
CUGUCUUCAAUUCAAGAAGAAGAUGCUUUAUUCACGGAAGGAAACGAGAAAAGUAGUCAGGAAAGAAGUGGCAAAGUGGAAGAGAUAAUUUUGGGAACAUAGUAGAACCAGGCAGAAAAGGCUGUGAUUUCUGCAGGAACUCUUUCAGAAUCAAGAAUCAGAAGUAAGAUCCCUCACUUCUUAAUGUCAGGAAACAAAUGUGGAACAAGCAGGUCUUACAACAUGGAGUUAGUAUGUGGGAAAGCAGCAGUUCUUAGUUCAGAAGCUUUGGUGCUAAAGUGCUGAUUUAGCACACUAAGGAGUGGCUCAGUAAAGAAAAGAAAAUCAGAAACCAUAGUAUCACCAUUCCUGGCAAAGAAUGCUUCCUUCCUUCAUUACAGCUGUGAAGACAGGGUUUGUACUUGGGUGGAAAAAUAAUGAAAUGGGUUCUUCAGUUGGUAUAGUCUCCAUUUUUUGAACUCCCAGAAAGCAUUAGACUUGUCACCAGCUGAAGGGGGAGGAUAUAUAAUAAAUUUUUCAUUAGGGUUUAUGUCCUUUGAAAUGGCAAACAGCGCCCUUUGCAGUAGCUGGAACUUACGUAGCAUAAUGUGAGUAAAAUCAGAAUUUUCCAUGUGCCCCUUGUGCUGGCCAAGCAUUUAACAGGCAGCAGGCAGGGGUAAUAGAGCACUGCUUUCCUUUGAGUGUGGUUCGAUGAUAUGGGAUUAAAGAUCUACCUUGAAGAGUAUGUGAGGCUUAGGAUAUAAGAAGAGGGUUGGGAGCUGAGAGCAAGGAAGUUGAAGCACAUGAUUCAUUGGUCAUUGCACUUUGGCAGAUCAGCCCGUAAAAGGUUAUUAAAGACAUUGUAGAUUUGAA